RNAcentral lists this long non-coding RNA (1478 nucleotides) under Olea europaea subsp. europaea. Lineage: Eukaryota; Viridiplantae; Streptophyta; Magnoliopsida; Lamiales; Oleaceae. The record is from RNAcentral.
UAAUGAUUAUUCUUAUUUAAAUCGUAUGAUUUAGAGCUCCGAUUCAAUCCCCGUCUGGAUUAAUCUAUUUGUACCCUCCUCUUCCUCUCCUUCACCAAGCCCGUGAAAACUAACGGCGUUAACAAUUACAGUAAUAGUAGCAGCAGGCCCGUGUUUCAGUUUCCUAAAACCAGGACAUCUUCUUCGGAUGCGGUAAUUUUGACAAUUACUUCUACUUCCUACUGUAAAUGUAGAAAUAAUUUUGAGGAUUUUCUGUAAAAUAAAAGUAAAAUGUCCCUACAAUGAUUUGAUUUAUAAUUUUGGAUUUUAAAGUUCCGACAGUGCAUUUUGUUUUUAGCCUUGCAUUGGAGUGGAUAUUUGUAAUGAUAAUCAUGCUGAUUGUAUUCUGCAGCAGAUUUUUUAGCAUCAAUAUAGUUAAUAGUUUUAUUUUGUGCAUAUGAGACAAAAAAAGUCCCAGAUCAUUUUCCAGCAAAUUGCAGGAAUUCUGAUAUGACGCAAGAAAUGUAAAUGAAAUUUGAUGUCGCUUUUGGUUAAGUUUCUAAUUUACUUAGGAUCAUGGAAUAACGUUCGUUGAGAUAUGGAAUUCUAAAUAUUUGUAUAUAGCUGUGUGCAUGAUCUCAUCUACUGAUGUAGAUAAAUGAAUUUAGAUUUUUGUAUGCUGUGUUCUGAGGGAUCUUGGGGCUUGCUUUUGUUUUCCUUUCUAUUUAUUUUGAUCGGGUCACUUAAAAUUUAUUGGAUGGAGCUCCAUUGGCUCGAUCAACAUCUACUGAAAGUCUGUCCAUGUCAAUUCGCACAAUGCCUUCACUUCCAACCAGUAGACCAUCACUUAAGACUCGGUUGCCCAUACUGCCAAUUGAUCCUCCUAGCAACAGACAAAAGAAAAGUAUGGAUUCCAUUCUUUAGCUAUUUCCGAACCUAGUUAUCUUAACCUUGCCACAAAUCAGCAUGCACUACUCCCUUUUAAAUAAAACUCUCUCUUUAAAAUUUCUAUAUCACUAUAAAAACUGUCAUCAUGUCGAAAUAAGGGAUGAAAUAUUUAUUAAGUUAAAACCUCAUGUCCAUUAUGCAUUGAACAUUGGGGGGUAUUUCUUCCAUAAUUCCAUUCACAUGCAAAUUUGAGCAGUCAAAGUGCUUCUCUGUAUAGGAGUGUAAGCAUCCUUGUUCUCUGAAUACCGAUCUGUGACAAUGGUUGGAUAGUGUUGCUAUCUUCUUUAUAAGAGCAACAUAUAAUUUCAAUUCAUUUGGUUUAUUUCAUGCUAAUGUAGAUACCAAUGUGAAUUGCAGGUUCUCAACAGAUUUGGCACAAUUAAACUUAAAAGAUAUCGGAGACGAAUGCGCCUCUUCUGCCCUUCGUGAUGAAGUAUGUUAUUUAUAUACCAAAAAAUAAAAAUAAUUGAACCAGUGUUCUGUAUAUAAUACAGUUAAUUUCCUGCUCAGGGAGGAGUUUGUUUUCUGCUUGUCUUUUGUCAAUCUAAUAA